AGAGUUUGAUCCUGGCUCAGAUUGAACGCUGGCGGAAUGCUUUACACAUGCAAGUCGAACGGCAGCACGGGAGCUUGCUCCUGGUGGCGAGUGGCGAACGGGUGAGUAAUACGUCGGAACGUAUCCAUGUAAUGGGGGAUAACGCAGCGAAAGCUGUGCUAAUACCGCAUACGCCCUACGGGGGAAAGCAGGGGAUCUUCGGACCUUGCGUUAUUGGAGCGGCCGACGUCUGAUUAGCUAGUUGGUGGGGUAAAGGCCUACCAAGGCGACGAUCAGUAGCUGGUCUGAGAGGAUGAUCCGCCACACUGGGACUGAGACACGGCCCAGACUCCUACGGGAGGCAGCAGUGGGGAAUUUUGGACAAUGGGGGCAACCCUGAUCCAGCCAUUCCGCGUGAGUGAAGAAGGCCUUCGGGUUGUAAAGCUCUUUCAGCUGGAGUGAAACGGUGCGCUCUAACAUAGCGUGCUAAUGACGGUACCAGCAGAAGAAGCACCGGCUAACUACGUGCCAGCAGCCGCGGUAAUACGUAGGGUGCGAGCGUUAAUCGGAAUUACUGGGCGUAAAGCGUGCGCAGGCGGAUUGUUAAGCAAGACGUGAAAUCCCCGGGCUUAACCUGGGAAUGGCGUUUUGAACUGGCAGUCUAGAGUGUGUCAGAGGGGGGUGGAAUUCCACGUGUAGCAGUGAAAUGCGUAGAGAUGUGGAGGAACACCAAUGGCGAAGGCAGCCCCCUGGGAUAACACUGACGCUCAUGUACGAAAGCGUGGGUAGCAAACAGGAUUAGAUACCCUGGUAGUCG
This 796-nucleotide ribosomal RNA is filed under the name uncultured bacterium. RNAcentral's name for it is "bacterial SSU rRNA". It matches the Rfam family "Bacterial small subunit ribosomal RNA", at positions 8 to 796 of the family's 1533-position model. The record is from RNAcentral.